Cephus cinctus (wheat stem sawfly) is the source of this 101-nucleotide long non-coding RNA. RefSeq lists it as uncharacterized. Lineage: Eukaryota; Metazoa; Arthropoda; Insecta; Hymenoptera; Cephidae. The transcript is spliced from 2 exons. The record is from RefSeq and is a predicted model, not a curated record.
CGCUACCUCAUUACCAUGGAUUCCCUGAUGGGAUGGGAUCCAGAUGAACUGAAUUUGAAGUCCGAUGGACCGGCUGCAAGAAGAGCCGAUGCCUCUGCAAA